CACAAGAAUGGUCCCACGGGGUAGAUUUCUGCAUUGUACCACUGGAUAGUGGUCUCUGGGUAGAGGACAACUCAUUAACCACUACCCUCUGAGUCCAGUCAUCCAAACAGAUCGGUUGUGUAGCCAUCUGGUCCAUCAAUCUAAACCUUGACUGGGCCUUCCUAACACGGAACAACAAUAUUACAGGAACCAGUGUUGAAAGAGUAAGAAAGUUGGGGUAAAUGACACCCCUUGCUUUCCCUUCAGUCACAUAAGAUCUUGUCAGGUCUCAGCUGGAGUAUUGUGUUCAGUUCUGGUUUUCAUAAGAAGAAAAACACAGACAGGCUGGAGAAUGUCCAGAGAGUCACAAAGAUAAUAAGAGCUGGAGAACCUGACCUGUGGGGAAACACUGAAGGACCUAGAUCUCA
Long non-coding RNA from Passer domesticus (house sparrow), 407 nucleotides. RefSeq lists it as uncharacterized. The record is from RefSeq and is a predicted model, not a curated record. NCBI's taxonomy places the organism in Eukaryota, Metazoa, Chordata, Aves, Passeriformes, Passeridae. The transcript has 2 exons.